Long non-coding RNA from Sapajus apella (tufted capuchin), 5237 nucleotides. RefSeq lists it as uncharacterized. Lineage: Eukaryota; Metazoa; Chordata; Mammalia; Primates; Cebidae. The transcript is spliced from 2 exons. The record is from RefSeq and is a predicted model, not a curated record.
AACUCCUGUGCUCAAGUGAUCCUCCUGCCUCAGUCUCCUGAAGUGCUGGGAUUACAGGUGUAGGCCACAGCACCUAGCCGUUGAGAAAAUUUAAAUGGUGAUUUUUCCCUCAGUGGCUCUGACACAAGAAGCAGACAGGAGGAGAUGGGGUGCAGGCUCGUGGUCACAGUUUUUCUCCCUUUAAAGUGUUUUCAAUUCCUGAGGCCAGUGGGGUGAAGGAUGAGAAACAAAUCACACUUAAUCCUCUAAAUAGUGGUUAAUUCUCAUAAUUAACCAGGUGUAUUUCAAUUUGGUUUUUUCGGGGUGGGGGAUUGACAAGUAUUUCAGUUUUUAAGUGUUUUUUUAAUGAUGAAAAAAAAAUCUACGCAAAAGCAUUUAGUACAACGGACACCCAUAAACGCAGCUACUGAGAUUCAAUAAUUGUCUUAAUUGCUUUGUGUGCAUACAUAUCUGACCAUCUAAAAGUAAACUAGACACCAUAUCACCCCCAAGUACUUCAACAUGUAUUUCUGAAGAGACACACUUAACAAAAUUAAUUUUCUAUAUCUAACACACACACACACACACACACACGUUCCCACACCUUUUAGCUGCUUUUCUCCCUGCCAAUCCAUGAUCAUGUAUCAUAUGUGGUGGUUCUGUCUCUGAAAUCUUUCGAUAUUGGAAGCAGGAGCCCCUGUGUCCCUUCCCUCCCAGCUUUUCCUGAACACACUGUUGUUUGUUUGAGGUGUUUAAUUCACUCCUGCAUCCUGUGCACUUACUGCAAGCAAGAAGUUGGAUCUAAAGCUCGGUUCAUCCAAGCUGCUGCUUUCUUUCAGGGUAGCUCCUGGGCCCCUGUGCACAGCAGGGCCACGUAGUGUCUGACAUCCAUGAUCAGUGGUAACAUUAGGCUCAGGUGGUAACAACUGGAUCCUUAAUCUGGUUCCCUGUAUUCCUUAAGCAUUUCUCAGUUGUGCCCUUUUUAUGUUCUCCAGAGCUGUGUCCUGGCACCUAUUCUGCGGACAGAGAGCCAGGGCAGGUACCUGCCAUAUUCCCUCUCAGGUCCAGAAAAGAGGUCACAGCAAUGAAAAUGCAGCUGAGACCAUUUGAUCUCCCUCAACACAAAUGGAUCCUGUGAGUGUGACCUACGUCACAGCCCAUCGCCUUCCCCUCACUGGUUCCUGAAUUGAGGAGGAAGGAGAGGCGAGCUUGAAAUGAAGUCUGCAUGAGUACACAUCGCUCACGUAACAGCUAAGAUCCACAGAACGCCUUGCUUUUUCCUAAGAGGUGGCAUGACUGUGUGGCCUUUGGUUAUAAAGCUGUAUGAAACUGAGUAAGUCAAACUUAAUACAAUUCAAACUUAAAGUCAGUGGAACUUUACUCUGGAGUCUCCAAAAGGGAGGCGGGAAGGAGGGGGAGGGGACAAGGGUUGAAAAGCUACCUUCACUGUUUGGGUGAUGAGUUCAAAGGUAGCCCAAACACCACAUCAUGCAACACAGCCAUGCAGCAAACCUGCACAUGUGCCAACUGAAACUGAAAUUUAAAAAAGCAUUCAAAACAUUGACUCUUGGAAGGAAUGCAGCUAUGCACCUGUAGUCAUAAAGUAUGCAGCGGCAACCUCUGCCUUUCUUUCCCUAUAAACGACCAAAUGCACCAGAGACAAGGACCCUGGGAUCACUGCUCCCUCACUUUGUAGAAUGCAGCCGUUGUAAUGGGCCACAUCACUGUGGCACACAUAUUGACAUCUCAGCCCCUCCCUGUAGGAGCGAUGCCUUAACUUUCCCACUGGGGAACACUGACCCUGUUUGUGUGGAGCCCGUCCCCCUGGUGGCCGUCCUGAAGUUGUGUGCUCAGAUGCACUUGAGCCUUCCCCAUAUUUUCUAAGCCUCCUCUUUUAAAGUUGACAGCUGAUAAACUUGCACCAGCCAUCUCUAAGGUAGAUCAGAGUCCACUGCAGCGACCAACUCUGUGUAGACAUAGGGACCCCAGAGAAGCGCUUGUCUAUGUACAGAAAAACUGGUUUACUAAAUAAGCUGGUGUUUUGAAAUGUGACACUUUUACGUUUUUAAAGGGAAAACAGUAACUGGGGAGCGACUGAACCUCCAGCUUUCCAAACGCGUGGCUAUCCUUUCAGCCACACGUGUGGCACAGUGUGUGUGCCAUCAGCUGGAAGAGCAGGGUUUGGGGAAGGGGUUAACAGAUAAGGAGCAUGAAUGACGCUGAGCCUGUCGGGGGGUGCAUGGGCAGUCCUGAGCCGGGGUUGAUGCGGCUAGGGCUUUGUCUCCUCUCACCAGCAGGUGAGUGUUACUUGGUAUUACAGGCCGGCCUCCUGCUGGUGGGCUUGUUUUCUCCUGGCACGUGUGACUUGGGAACAUGCGGGUUUCUUCUGUGCCUUUCUCGGACUCAAAGGCUGGCUUCAUCACCACCGAAGGGCUUGUUACCUUUACGAGGUAUUUCAGACUCCCCACACCAUUCUCUAGGUUUUGGUUACUAUAUCUCCAAAACCUGCUGUUUCUUGGCAAAUCUCCAUCCACCAGGUUUCUGAUUAUGUUUGAAGGUUAUCAUCAUCAUCAUGCUGGCAUCUUUGUCUUUUGGUGACCAACUGUUCUCUUACCAGUGUCUGUGAGUGGUUUCAUCUCUUUCAAGUAUGUCCAUCAGUAACAGUGACCUCCUUGUACUAUAAGCCUAUCAAUUUGAGUGGAGACAUUUAAAUAUUUAUAUAUUUUUUGAGACAGGGUCUUACACUGUUGCCCAGUCAGGAGUACAGUGUGGCACGAUCAGAGCUCACUGCAGCUUCCACCUCUGGGAGCUGGGACUAUAGGUAUGCCACCAUGCCUGUCUAAUUUUUUUUGUGUGUUUAGAGAUGAGAUCUUGCUAUAUUGCCUAAGCUGCUCUUAAACUCCUGGCCUCAAGCAAUCCUCUGGCCUUGGCCUCCCCAAGUGCUGGGAUUACAGGUGUGAGUGACUGCACCUGCCCCCAUUUAAGUAUUUAGAAAUUAAUGUCUCAGCAUGUUUUUUCAGAGUUGCAAAGAUAUUUUCACUUACUGAUAAAGGUUUAGUAGAAUUUUAGCUUUCACAACAAGUGAUGAUAUUGAUCCCUUUGGCAUUAUAUCUGUUUAGAAUUUUAGGAAAAUAUGAUUUUAAAAAUUAAAUUUACAUAAAUUAUUUUCAGGGAAGCUGAACAAAUCUGGAUGGGAUGGGGUGAUAGAAAAUACCAUUUGCUUUAAGUUUUGAGAAGCAAUUUUUUUAUUCUUUGGAAACUAGGGUUUAAGAAAUCUCUUCUCCUUGGAGACUUUAAAACUAAAACUGGUGCUAUUUAAGACAGAAGGAAAUGGUAAGAAUUUUCCAAGGCUCAUCAUGAAGAUACACAUCUUUCCCUUGAGAAUAGAGGCUAGAGAACUGCAAGAAGGCAGUUCCCUCUGGAGUCUCCUUUCCUGGGAGAUGCAGCUCCACACGGGUGAGUUUCUGGACAAAAGGAGAAAGGAGGGUGGUAUGUGUCCUAAUAUUUAACUGUUUAUUUGGGAUCAUGUUAUGCAUCUUAAAAAGCAAUAUAAGACAAAAUGUUGGAAAGACAUUUCAAAAUAAUUACCUUGAAGUAAUUCUCAUAAUUCAUAGGUAACAUUUUUGCGUAUUUUGCCUUUUUAAAAAACUUUCUACAAUGAAAACACAUUAUUUUUACAAUAAAACAGUAACAAGUACAAAAAGUAACGUUUACAAACUUUUAAUGGAAAAUACCAAAUAGAUACAAAAAAGACAAGUGUAAAUUGGGUUGGCAAGCUAUAGCCUACAGGCCAAAUUUGGACCACCACCUGUUUUUGCACAGCCCAUAUGUUAAGGAUGAUUUUUAGAUUUUUCAAUGGUGAAAAAAUGUAAAAGGGUAGUAUUUAAUGACAUAUGAAAAACAUGUGAAAUUCAGACUUCAGUGUCCAUAGAGUUUGACUGGAACACAGCCACACAUACUGGUGUGUGGCUCCCUGGUGGCUGCUUCAUGCUACUACUGCAAAGUGGCAAGACAUGGCUGGAAAAGCCAACUAUAUUUACCAUCUGCUCCUUUACAGAAAAAGUGUUGUGCCCUGCUCUACAUCCUGAUGUGUACCUAUCCUUGCAGCCUCAAAUUCCCAGCCAAUCUUGUUUCAUCUAUACUUACUCCCAGCCCCACAGAUUCAAAGGAAAUUCCAGACGUCCUAUAAUUUCAUCUUCAUGCUGCUGACAUUUAAAAGUUGAAAACUCACCAAGAAGAUGGAAUAUAUAUGCACAAAACAUCAGAACCCCAAAAUACAUGAAACAAAAUCGAAGGAAGAAACGGACAGUUCUAUAGUAAGAGUAGGAGACUUCAAUAGCCCACUCACAGUAAUGGACAGGACAACCAGAGGAUCAGUCAUAUGACAAAACUUGAACAGUGUCGUACCAACUGGACCUGACAGACAUAUACAGAACACUCCACCAAACAACGGCAGUACACACAUUUUUCUCAAGUGCAAAUGGACCUUUCUCUAGGACAGACAGCAUGUUAGACCUCAAAAGACUGAAAAAAUAAAAAUUAUCUUUUCUGGCCACAGUGGGAUGAAACUAAAAAUCAGUAACAAGAAAAAACAAAAAGUACACAAUUAUGUGAAAAUUAAACAAUACUCUCAGCCAGUGGAUUAACAGAGAAAUUAGAAAAUAUCUUGAGAUAAAUGAAAAUUUAAACCUAUCAUACAAAAAGAUACAGUGAAAGCAAUGGUAGGGAAAUUUAUAACUGUACAUACUUAAAAAAUUAAGAUCUCAAGUCAACCCUAAAUUUACAUCUGAAAUAACUAGAAAAAAAAGAGCUAACAACCCAAAACCAGCAGAAUGGAGGAAAUUAGGGCAGAGACAAAAUAGACAACAGCAAAGCAAGAGAGAAAAAUAAAUGAAACCAAGAAUUUGCUGGGUCAACCCAAACUGACAAACUUCUUGCUAGUGUGACUAAGAAAAAUAAAACCAGAAGGAGGGGACGUUACAACUGAUUUUACAGAAAUAAAAGGUAUUAAGGGUACUAUGAGCAAUUGUGUAUCAAUGAAUUGCAUAACCUAGAUGAAUUGGACAAAUUAUUCGAAACACACAACCUAUCAAGAUUGAAUCAUGAAGAAAUGGAAAAUCUGAAGAGACCUGUGGUAGUCAAGAAACUGAAUUAGUAAUGAAAAACCUCCCAACAAAGAAAACCCCAGGGCCAUAUGGCUUCACUGUAGAAUUCUACCAAACAUUUGAAGAAUUAUAUCAAUUCUCCUCAAACACUUC